AUCCAGCUGACGAGUCUCAAACAGGACGGAACGCGCGUCCUGGAU
Molecule: non-coding RNA, 45 nt
Filed under: Schistosoma margrebowiei
Lineage: Eukaryota; Metazoa; Platyhelminthes; Trematoda; Strigeidida; Schistosomatidae
Source: RNAcentral